GACGAACGCUGGCGGCGUGCUUAACACAUGCAAGUCGAACGGAGCGAAUGAAAGCUUGCUUUUAUAAGCUUAGUGGCAAACGGGUGAGUAACACGUAGACAACCUGCCGACAGGAUGGGGACAACAUUCCGAAAGGAAUGCUAAUACCGAAUGAAGCGGAGGAGAGGCAUCUCUCUUCCGUGAAAGAUGGCCUCUAUAUAUAAGCUAUCACCUGUUGAUGGGUCUGCGUCUGAUUAGCUGGUAGGUGAGGUAACGGCUCACCUAGGCGACGAUCAGUAGCCGGUCUGAGAGGAUGAACGGCCACAUUGGGACUGAGACACGGCCCAGACUCCUACGGGAGGCAGCAGUGGGGAAUCUUCCGCAAUGGGCGCAAGCCUGACGGAGCAACGCCGCGUGAGUGAAGAAGGUCUUCGGAUCGUAAAGCUCUGUUGAUGGGGACGAACGUGCCUAAUGCGAAUAGUUUUAGGCAAUGACG
This 475-nucleotide ribosomal RNA is filed under the name Centipeda noxia. RNAcentral describes it as "bacterial SSU rRNA". It matches the Rfam family "Bacterial small subunit ribosomal RNA", at positions 28 to 474 of the family's 1533-position model. Lineage: Bacteria; Bacillati; Bacillota; Negativicutes; Selenomonadales; Selenomonadaceae. The record is from RNAcentral.